CAAUAGCGUAUAUUAAAGUUGUUGCAGUUAAAAAGCUCGUAGUUGGAUUUCUGUGAGAGUGCCGGUGUCGGCUGAUGCUUGUACGCAGGCGCUCUUACAUCCUUCUGUUAACUGUUCUUGGCAUUUUAUUGCUGGUUCAGGGCUCAGAUAUUUUACCUUGAGAAAAUUAGAGUGUUUCAGGCAGGCUUAUGCCGGAAUACAUUAGCAUGGAAUAAUGGAACAGGACCUGUGCGUCUCUCGGGGCGCCGGUCUCCGUUGUUGGUUUCGGGGACUAAUGUAAUGAUUAAUAGGGAUAGUUGGGGGCAUUAGUAUUUAAUAGUCAGAGGUGAAAUUCUCGGAUUUGUUAAAGACUAACUUAUGCGAAAGCAUUUGCCAAGGAUGUUUUCAUUGA
RNAcentral lists this ribosomal RNA (391 nucleotides) under uncultured eukaryote. RNAcentral describes it as "partial 18S ribosomal RNA". It matches the Rfam family "Eukaryotic small subunit ribosomal RNA", at positions 592 to 976 of the family's 1831-position model. The record is from RNAcentral.